RNAcentral lists this ribosomal RNA (642 nucleotides) under Acinetobacter baumannii. Its description in RNAcentral is "partial 23S ribosomal RNA". It matches the Rfam family "Bacterial large subunit ribosomal RNA", at positions 296 to 944 of the family's 2925-position model. The record is from RNAcentral. Lineage: Bacteria; Pseudomonadati; Pseudomonadota; Gammaproteobacteria; Moraxellales; Moraxellaceae.
AGGACUGCGACGUGGGACUUUAAAAGGAUAGAAGAAUUACCUGGGAAGGUAAGCCAAAGAGAGUAAAAGCCUCGUAUUUAAAAUUCUUUUGAGCCCUAGCAGUAUCCUGAGUACGGCGAGACACGUGAAAUCUCGUUGGAAUCUGGGAGGACCAUCUCCCAACCCUAAAUACUCUCUAGUGACCGAUAGUGAACCAGUACCGUGAGGGAAAGGUGAAAAGCACCCCGGGAGGGGAGUGAAAUAGAACCUGAAACCGUGUGCCUACAACAAGUUCGAGCCCGUUAAUGGGUGAGAGCGUGCCUUUUGUAGAAUGAACCGGCGAGUUACGAUAUGAUGCGAGGUUAAGUUGAAGAGACGGAGCCGUAGGGAAACCGAGUCUUAAUAGGGCGAUUUAGUAUCAUGUUGUAGACCCGAAACCAUGUGACCUACCCAUGAGCAGGUUGAAGGUGAGGUAAAACUCACUGGAGGACCGAACCAGGGCACGUUGAAAAGUGCUUGGAUGACUUGUGGGUAGCGGAGAAAUUCCAAACGAACUUGGAGAUAGCUGGUUCUCUCCGAAAUAGCUUUAGGGCUAGCGUCGAUGUUAAGUCUCUUGGAGGUAGAGCACUGUUUGGGUGAGGGGUCCAUCUCGGAUUACCAAUC